Long non-coding RNA from Silurus meridionalis, 169 nucleotides. RefSeq lists it as uncharacterized. NCBI's taxonomy places the organism in Eukaryota, Metazoa, Chordata, Actinopteri, Siluriformes, Siluridae. The transcript has 3 exons. The record is from RefSeq and is a predicted model, not a curated record.
AUGGAAAAGGCGAGCAUAAGCCAGCAGGAGCUUCAGGCCAUUAAGAGCCUUAUGCUACUCAGCAACACUCACAAAAAUGCCAGUGUUGAAAACCAGCUUCUGGCACUUAAAGAAGUGAACACCAGACAAAAUCUGGAAAUCCGAGGCCUGAAAUACAAAAUCAGCAGCA